Molecule: ribosomal RNA, 936 nt
Filed under: uncultured rumen bacterium
Lineage: Bacteria
Description: bacterial SSU rRNA
Rfam family: Bacterial small subunit ribosomal RNA
Source: RNAcentral
AGAGUUUGAUCCUGGCUCAGGAUGAACGCUAGCUACAGGCUUAACACAUGCAAGUCGAGGGGCAGCAUGAUCGAAGCUUGCUUUGAUUGAUGGCGACCGGCGCACGGGUGAGUAACGCGUAUCCAACCUUCCCUAUAGUAGAGAAUAGCCCGGCGAAAGUCGGAUUAAUGCUCUAUGUUGUAUUUAGAAGACAUCUGAAGAAUACCAAAGGUUUACCGCUAUAGGAUGGGGAUGCGUCUGAUUAGGUAGUAGGCGGGGUAACGGCCCACCUAGCCGACGAUCAGUAGGGGUUCUGAGAGGAAGGUCCCCCACAUUGGAACUGAGACACGGUCCAAACUCCUACGGGAGGCAGCAGUGAGGAAUAUUGGUCAAUGGACGGAAGUCUGAACCAGCCAAGUAGCGUGCAGGAUGACGGCCCUAUGGGUUGUAAACUGCUUUUAUAUAGGGAUAAAGUCGGGGACGUGUCCCCGUUUGUAGGUACUAUAUGAAUAAGGACCGGCUAAUUCCGUGCCAGCAGCCGCGGUAAUACGGAAGGUCCAGGCGUUAUCCGGAUUUAUUGGGUUUAAAGGGAGCGCAGGCUGAUGAUUAAGCGUGACGUGAAAUGUAGCCGCUCAACGGCUGAACUGCGUCGCGAACUGGUUAUCUUGAGUGAGUUCGAUGUUGGCGGAAUUCGUGGUGUAGCGGUGAAAUGCUUAGAUACCACGAAGAACUCCGAUUGCGAAGGCAGCCAACAAGGCCUUUACUGACGCUAAAGCUCGAAGGUGCGGGUAUCGAACAGGAUUAGAUACCCUGGUAGUCCGCACGGUAAACGAUGGAUGCCCGCUGUUUGCGAUAUACUGUGAGCGGCCAAGAGAAAUCGUUAAGCAUCCCACCUGGGGAGUACGCCGGCAACGGUGAAACUCAAAGGAAUUGACGGGGGGCCCGCACAAGCGGAGG